Molecule: ribosomal RNA, 794 nt
Filed under: Amphidromus atricallosus leucoxanthus
Lineage: Eukaryota; Metazoa; Mollusca; Gastropoda; Stylommatophora; Camaenidae
Description: partial 16S ribosomal RNA
Source: RNAcentral
GUUAACAAAAAGGAUAGUAAAAUUAAACUACACGAAAUAAUUUGAGCUAACUACUUGAGGAUAUAAGCCCAAUUUAAUAGUGUAUUGCAAAACACUAUCUUGACGGGUAGUUAGGGGUGAUAGGCCAAGCAAGAAUUAUGAUAUCUUGAUUUUAGGAAAAUUCAUUUAGUGAAUAAACAAACUUAAAGUGACAAGGCUUUAAGUGUAAAAUUAACUCUUGAAAGUAAUAUUUAUAGCUCUAACCAGCAAUAUGUAGCAUUAACUACAACUAAAAUGUUCAAGUUAUUUCUAAUACCUAAAUAUAAAAUUGCUAAUUGAUUUAUAAUGUUAACAUGAGUAUGUUAGAUAGAUCAGUAGAAUGAAUUCGGCAAAUCUACCUUUCGACUGUUUACCAAAAACAUAACUGCAUGAAUACCCAUACAGCAUUUUCUGCUCAAUGAAUGUUAAAUAGCCGCAGUACUCUGACUGUGCAAAGGUAGCAUAAUCAGUUGGCUUAUAAUUGAAGUCUAGAAUCAACGAAUGCACGGGGGGUUACUGUGUCCUAGUAAAGCACUAAAAUUACUUAGUAAGUGAAAAUACUUACUUGAAAAUAAAAGACGAGAAGACCCUAGAAAUUUAAAUUGAAUUUUGUUGGGGCGACAUGGUAGCAUUAAACCUACAGUAAGUACAGGAACUUUAUUAAGUGAAAGAUUAAUUACUCUAGGGAUAACAGCAUAAUUUAGAAAAGUUUGUGACCUCGAUGUUGGAUUAGGAAAUUUAAGUUUAGACGAUAUAGAAUAUUGCUCUGUUCGAGC